This 165-nucleotide non-coding RNA is filed under the name uncultured Fretibacterium sp. The record is from RNAcentral. Lineage: Bacteria; Thermotogati; Synergistota; Synergistia; Synergistales; Aminobacteriaceae.
CAGGUGCCGGCGCGCAGGCCGGCGAAGAGGGAAGCAGGCGAAAACCCUGCACGGUCCCGCCGCUGUGAGGGGGAGACGGCCCCGAAGGCCACUGGAGCGAUCCGGGAAGGCCGAGGGGACGUUUUUUCACGUCGACGAUCCCGAGUCAGAAGACCUGCCUGUGCC